Molecule: long non-coding RNA, 248 nt
Filed under: Triticum aestivum (bread wheat)
Lineage: Eukaryota; Viridiplantae; Streptophyta; Magnoliopsida; Poales; Poaceae
Description: long non-coding RNA (TAES_LNC021151)
Source: RNAcentral
GAAUGGGUGUCACUUAUAUAGUGAUGAAGAGAGGGUAAGGAAUGGUUAAUGCUCUUAACGGUCUCUAUCGAUAAGCAUGCGUCUAAAUCAUGCUGAUAUAUAGAGUUGUAAUAUGAAAGACUUGGAGGUGAAAUGCAAAUUUCAUUCUUGUCUUGCCUCAGUACCAGGAACUCCAUUACCUGAACCAUGCAGAUGGCCUGUUUUGGUUUGCCUGCAUCUGUCACUACCAAGUAAUGCAAAAUUUCCUC